Molecule: non-coding RNA, 610 nt
Organism: Cricetulus griseus (Chinese hamster)
Lineage: Eukaryota; Metazoa; Chordata; Mammalia; Rodentia; Cricetidae
Source: RefSeq, a predicted model, not a curated record
GGAUGAUCAAGGGGCAGGGCCAGUUCGCCUGCUUUCCUGCCCGCAGGGUCCACUCUCCCACACCUGGAUCAUCAGGGCCAGCUCUACUGUGUGGCCUAGGUCUUUAAAUUUUGUUUUGUUUUUGUCAACUUGACACAAGCUGGAGUCAUCUAAGAGACCCUCAGUUGAGAAAAUGGUCCCAUCAGACUGCCCUGUAGGAAGGGCCCAGCUCACUGUGAGUGGUACCAGACUUGGACAAGUGGUCCUGGGGUGUGUAAGAAAGCAAACUGAGCAAGCCUGGCGUGCAAGCCAUUAAGCAGCCCUCCUUCAUGGUCUCUGCUUCAGUUCCUGCCUCUAGAUUCCUGCCUUGAGUUCCUUACCUGACUUCCUUCAUGAUGGACUAUGAGCUGUUUGAUCAAUGGUUUUUGAUUGUUUGUUUUUGUUUUGUUUUAUCACAGAAGUAGAAAGCAAACUAAAUCACUAUCUAGGACUUCCUACCUCCAGAAUUGUGAAAAAUGAAUGUUUAAUCUUUUAAUGUAACAUCAAUGGAGACAUUAGAGGUUAAAUGUUGUAAAUCUAUGUUAUCACAUUUUAGUACACAUAUGCAACAUAAAUAAAUGUUUAAAAAGUA